The sequence is a ribosomal RNA, 581 nucleotides long. The stretch from base 2 to 120 matches the Rfam family "5.8S ribosomal RNA", at positions 36 to 154 of the family's 154-position model.
UAUGAAGAGAGCAGCCAGCUGCGAUAAUUAAUGUGAAUUGCAGGACACACUGAACAUCGACAUCUUGAACGCAUAUUGCGGCCUCGGCUCAAUGCCGAAGCCCCGCCUGUCCGAGGGUAGGCUAACAAUACUCGCCUGCUAACUGCUGGACCACGUGUCGAGCAGAGGCGACUUGGCGCUCCGAGCGAGCUCGUCUCGCCCGUUCGCUUGAAUUUUACGCUCUCCCAGCGGGUCAACUGAUUCAGUGGCGCAGGGACUGGGCCCGAUCGGAUCUAGUCCAGCGAUCAAGCUGAAGACCUGGCUGUCUGCUGCCGUCCCUCUCCUACUCGUUAGGCCAGAGGUAGAUGGUCGUCGACUCGCGCGGCUGGCUACUAGCAGCCCUCUCUACAGGGAGGGCGGCAGGUGGCCGGGGAGUCACCGUCUUCACUGACGGUUUGCGCAGUCGACGCUUAGGGCAAGGAGCGGGCUCUCGCACGUUCGAAAGGACGGCAGGGCACCUCGAAACUAAACUAACCUACCUCGGAUCAGACGAGACUACCCGCCGAAUUUAAGCAUAUCAGUAAGCGGAGGAAAAGAAACUA